CCGCUUCUUUGUAUAAUCGCGCGCGCAAAACGUGAGGAAAGUCCGGGCAUCGCAGAGCGGGAUAGCUGCUAACGGCAGCCGGAGGCGACUCCAGGGCGAGUGCAACAGAAAUAGACUGCCGCGCGGAAAUUCCGCGCGGCACAGGUGGAAAGGCGGGGUAAAAGCCCACCGGGGCGGCGGAGACGCCGCCGCCAUGUAAACCCUAUCCGAUGCAACGCCGAUUUAACGCGGGGAACAAUACGUCUGCUCGGCGUACCCCGACGAAAGGCGGCAACUCCGCCGCAAGGCGGGACGACCGCGCCGGCGACGACGCGGCAAGAUAAAUGAUUAUACACGACAAAACCCGGCUUACAGAAGGAGCGGCUUG
RNAcentral lists this RNase P RNA (367 nucleotides) under Oscillospiraceae bacterium. RNAcentral describes it as "RNase P RNA component class A". It matches the Rfam family "Bacterial RNase P class A". From Rfam's summary of the family: Ribonuclease P (RNase P) is a ubiquitous endoribonuclease, found in archaea, bacteria and eukarya as well as chloroplasts and mitochondria. Its best characterised activity is the generation of mature 5'-ends of tRNAs by cleaving the 5'-leader elements of precursor-tRNAs. Cellular RNase Ps are ribonucleoproteins. The record is from RNAcentral. Lineage: Bacteria; Bacillati; Bacillota; Clostridia; Eubacteriales; Oscillospiraceae.